This 492-nucleotide ribosomal RNA is filed under the name uncultured bacterium. RNAcentral describes it as "partial 16S ribosomal RNA". It matches the Rfam family "Bacterial small subunit ribosomal RNA", at positions 29 to 507 of the family's 1533-position model. The record is from RNAcentral.
AGUGAACGCUGGCGGUAGGCCUAACACAUGCAAGUCGAACGGCAGCACAGUAAGAGCUUGCUCUUACGGGUGGCGAGUGGCGGACGGGUGAGGAUUACAUCGGAAUCUACUUUUUCGUGGGGGAUAACGUAGGGAAACUUACGCUAAUACCGCAUACGACCUACGGGUGAAAGCAGGGGAUCUUCGGACCUUGCGCGAUUGAAUGAGCCGAUGUCGGAUUAGCUAGUUGGCGGGGUAAAGGCCCACCAAGGCGACGAUCCGUAGCUGGUCUGAGAGGAUGAUCAGCCACACUGGAACUGAGACACGGUCCAGACUCCUACGGGAGGCAGCAGUGGGGAAUAUUGGACAAUGGGCGCAAGCCUGAUCCAGCCAUACCGCGUGGGUGAAGAAGGCCUUCGGGUUGUAAAGCCCUUUUGUUGGGAAAGAAAAGCAGCAGGUUAAUACCCCGCUGUUCUGACGGUACCCAAAGAAUAAGCACUGGCUAACUUCGUG